GACGAACGCUGGCGGCGUGCUUAACACAUGCAAGUCGAACGGAAAGGCCCUGCUUUUGUGGGGUGCUCGAGUGGCGAACGGGUGAGUAACACGUGAGUAACCUGCCCUUGACUUUGGGAUAACUUCAGGAAACUGGGGCUAAUACCGGAUAGGAGCUCCUGCUGCAUGGUGGGGGUUGGAAAGUUUCGGCGGUUGGGGAUGGACUCGCGGCUUAUCAGCUUGUUGGUGGGGUAGUGGCUUACCAAGGCUUUGACGGGUAGCCGGCCUGAGAGGGUGACCGGCCACAUUGGGACUGAGAUACGGCCCAGACUCCUACGGGAGGCAGCAGUGGGGAAUAUUGCACAAUGGGCGGAAGCCUGAUGCAGCAACGCCGCGUGCGGGAUGACGGCCUUCGGGUUGUAAACCGAUUUCGACUGUGACGAAGCGUGAGUGACGGUAAUGGGUAAAGAAGCACCGGCUAACUACGUG
This 468-nucleotide ribosomal RNA is filed under the name uncultured bacterium. RNAcentral describes it as "partial 16S ribosomal RNA". It matches the Rfam family "Bacterial small subunit ribosomal RNA", at positions 28 to 507 of the family's 1533-position model. The record is from RNAcentral.